AGCUCAGCCCCGCCCACUUCACCCCGGAGAGUCGAGCUGAAAUGCAGAAUGUUUGCCGUGUUGAAUCCCCAAAACUGUUCCCACUUUGGCAGAAGGCUGUGUGUUCAUGUGGCCUGCUGUAAACUCACAGUCAGGUCGGUUGGCGUCCCGAGGCGUCAGUUUGUGACGAGUUGGGAAUGUGACUUAAAAAGAGGUACCUCUAAAAUGUAUUGUUGAAUAUGCAGCCUAGCAGCAUCCACAGUUCACAGUUCAUUCAUUGUUCAUGUUCAUCCUUGAAAACAUCCAUGUUUCAUACGUAAUCUGUGAUGGAUAUCUUCAUCCCCUUUAUUCAGUGCUCAUGGACCCUGCCACUUGGAUAUGCAUACAUCUGAAGCAAUAGUCUGAUGUUUAGGGGAACAGGUUUAUUCACUUUGCUGAGAUUUGGAAGAGACGAAUGAGAACACGUUAAUGUCUGUAGGUCUACAGUAAGCAGUAAGUUAGCACAGCUUAGUUUAGUGUAAAUGUAACAGCACAAACUGUCAUUUUUACACUUUGUGCUACAUUUUGUCAAUAAAAAAUAAAUAAAUUCA
This is a long non-coding RNA of Acanthopagrus latus (yellowfin seabream), 569 nucleotides long. RefSeq lists it as uncharacterized. The transcript is spliced from 2 exons. The record is from RefSeq and is a predicted model, not a curated record. Lineage: Eukaryota; Metazoa; Chordata; Actinopteri; Spariformes; Sparidae.